GUCUAUUUGAAGAUAUAAAAAGUCUAGCCUGCCCACUGAUAAAUAUUUUAAGGGCCGCGGUAUUUCUAACUGUGCAAAGGUAGCAUAAUCGUUAGUUUCUUAAUUGGAAUCUUGUAUGAAUGGUUUGACAAGAAAAAAUCUGUCUUUAUAAUUAUUUAUUGAAUUUAACUUUUAAGUGAAAAGGCUUAAAUAAAUUAAAAAGACGAUAAGACCCUAUAAAGCUUAAUAUUAAGUUUUUUAUUUAAUAAAAUUUUAAAAGUAUAAAUAUUUAAUAGUUAGCUUUUAUUUUAUUGGGGCGAUAAUGGUAUAAAGAUUAUUAACUGUUAAUUUUUAAAUACAAAAAUAAAUGGAUAAUUGAAAUAUUUAUUAAAUGAUCCUUUUUAAAGAUUAAAAGUUUAAGUUACUUUAGGGAUAACAGCGUUAUUUUUUUUGAGAGUUCUUAUCGAAAAAAAAGUUUGCGACCUCGAUGUUGAAUUAAAAUAUCUAUAUAAUUGUAGCAGUUAUAUAAGAAGGUCUGUUCGACCUUUAAAUUUUUACAUGAUUUGAGUUCAAACCGGCGUGAGCCAGGUUGGUUUCUAUCUUUUAAUAUAAUAAAAAUUAUUUUAGUACGAAAGGAUUAAAUAA
RNAcentral lists this ribosomal RNA (624 nucleotides) under Aratus pacificus. RNAcentral describes it as "partial 16S ribosomal RNA". It matches the Rfam family "Bacterial large subunit ribosomal RNA", at positions 1831 to 2699 of the family's 2925-position model. Lineage: Eukaryota; Metazoa; Arthropoda; Malacostraca; Decapoda; Sesarmidae. The record is from RNAcentral.